Molecule: small nucleolar RNA, 108 nt
Filed under: Phaeomoniella chlamydospora
Lineage: Eukaryota; Fungi; Ascomycota; Eurotiomycetes; Phaeomoniellales; Phaeomoniellaceae
Description: A. fumigatus snoRNA Afu_304
Rfam family: A. fumigatus snoRNA Afu_304
Source: Rfam by way of RNAcentral
UUCAAUGAUGAACAAGAGCUAUACGCUCGAAAUAAUCCCAGCUCGUCGAACGAUCUCGUUUUAUAUCUCACGUUGAGAUCGUGUUGAGAAAAAGUCCAACCCUGAAAG